UGCGUAGGUGGUUUCUUAAGUCAGGAGUGAAAGGCUACGGCUCAACCGUAGUAAGCUCUUGAAACUGGGAAACUUGAGUGCAGGAGAGGAAAGUGGAAUUCCUAGUGUAGCGGUGAAAUGCGUAGAUAUUAGGAGGAACACCAGUAGCGAAGGCGGCUUUCUGGACUGUAACUGACGCUGAGGCACGAAAGCGUGGGGAGCAAACA
This 206-nucleotide ribosomal RNA is filed under the name uncultured bacterium. RNAcentral describes it as "partial 16S ribosomal RNA". It matches the Rfam family "Bacterial small subunit ribosomal RNA", at positions 568 to 774 of the family's 1533-position model. The record is from RNAcentral.